UCAACUUCUUACAGGUUGCCGAAGUGGGCUCUUUUUUUUAACCUUUUAAUAUAAUGAUAGGGUGAAUGGUGUAUGCAUGAGUUUGUUUACUUGAUUUACAAGGUUAAUCUUUUAUUCAAAUAUUUGUUACUUUUGAAUUUGCUCUUAGGUUGUACGUGGACACUAUAAAGGUCAGCAAAUUGGCAAAGUAGUCCAGGUUUACAGGAAGAAAUAUGUUAUCUACAUUGAACGGGUGCAGCGGGAAAAGGCUAAUGGCACAACUGUCCACGUAGGCAUUCACCCCAGCAAGGUGGUUAUCACUAGGCUAAAACUGGACAAAGACCGCAAAAAGAUCCUCGAACGGAAAGCCAAAUCUCGCCAAGUAGGAAAGGAAAAGGGCAAAUACAAGGAAGAAACCAUUGAGAAGAUGCAGGAAUAAAGUAAUCUUAUAUACAAGCUUUGAUUAAAACUUGAAAC
RNAcentral lists this long non-coding RNA (456 nucleotides) under Homo sapiens (human). RNAcentral describes it as "non-protein coding lnc-KRBA2-1:3". Lineage: Eukaryota; Metazoa; Chordata; Mammalia; Primates; Hominidae. The record is from RNAcentral.